Molecule: ribosomal RNA, 411 nt
Filed under: Actinomycetes bacterium
Lineage: Bacteria; Bacillati; Actinomycetota; Actinomycetes
Description: Actinobacteria bacterium partial 16S ribosomal RNA
Rfam family: Bacterial small subunit ribosomal RNA
Source: RNAcentral
UGGGGAAUAUUGCACAAUGGGCGCAAGCCUGAUGCAGCGACGCCGCGUGGGGGAUGACGGCCUUCGGGUUGUAAACUCCUUUCGCUAGGGACGAAGCUUUUUGUGACGGUACCUAGAUAAGAAGCACCGGCUAACUACGUGACAGCAGCCGCGGUAAUACGUAGGGUGCGAGCGUUGUCCGGAAUUACUGGGCGUAAAGGGCUCGUAGGUGGUUUGUCGCGUCGACUGUGAAAUUCCGGGGCUUAACUCCGGGCGUGCAGGCGAUACGGGCAUAACUUGAGUACUGUAGGGGUAACUGGAAUUCCUGGUGUAGCGGUGAAAUGCGCAGAUAUCAGGAGGAACACCGAUGGCGAAGGCAGGUUACUGGGCAGUUACUGACGCUGAGGAGCGAAAGCAUGGGUAGCGAACAGG